UUGAUACUGUAUGACACCAACUGCUCAGGCUCUGUGGUGUAGCUGGCCUUCACGGAGAGGCUGGACUCGCUGUCUAAAGGAGAGACGCAGCCGCUGGAGCACUGCCUCUCAGACAGCUGCAUGAGCUUUUAGCUCAGCAACUUGAAGCCUGGGUAGGUGGGGAAUGCUGAGGGUCGGACGAGGAUUGAGAAUCCACAAUUCUGAGGAGGCCAGAAAUCUGUUUUCUGAACUUUCAAGGGAGAAACGCUUAGCAUUUGGAGAUAAUCCUAAGAAAUGCUGGAAUAUAGUCUCUUUUCUUGCUACAUGAGAGGAGGAAGCUGGAACUUCAUGAGGUUCCUCAUGCUGGAGGUGGAAGAGUCUGGAUCAGGAGAGAAGGGAAGAACGGAUAUUCUUCUGGACUUCUCUGUCCCCUAAAGGGUCACAUUUGACAGACCGUUUAACCUCCUCAUCUGACAAUCAUCUGACUGGGCUCGUGCUGCUCAUUGGCAGGAUUACUAAUCCCACAAAUUUCUAGAUAUGAGAAAGUGCACUGUUCAUUCUGUCUUUGUUCAUUUACAGUGUUUACCUACUGAACAGGAUAGCUUAGGUUUGACUUUUUCCAGCAUUGUUGCAUUUCACAAGAGGAGAAAGUCACAUUUCCAGUGAGUUCAGAGAAGUGAGUGAAUAUUGAUUUUCAAACAUUAUGAGAUAAUUCAUGGUUUAUUUCUCCAUUUUCGCAAAAUGAUGAAAAGGCAUUCAAUUGGCUGCAAUUUAUCCCUGUGACUGAAUCACUGCUAUCUGGUAAAAACAUAAAACAUUUUUUCU
Molecule: long non-coding RNA, 804 nt
Organism: Girardinichthys multiradiatus
Lineage: Eukaryota; Metazoa; Chordata; Actinopteri; Cyprinodontiformes; Goodeidae
Exons: 3
Source: RefSeq, a predicted model, not a curated record